AGGAGUACUUGAUUAAAGUAAAUGAAAAGAAUAGUUAGGUAAAUGUCUAAUAUGCAAAUUCAUUGGUGGAACUUAAAAGAUGCCUACCUGACGUACAACAGUUCUUGUGAGAAGGAUAGAUGCAGCCAACUCGGUCAGUAAAUUAGGAUUACUUUUUCGGAUAUGCGAAUUAAUUAAGGGCUCUAAGUUAACUUCUUUAUU
Molecule: long non-coding RNA, 201 nt
Filed under: Nicotiana benthamiana
Lineage: Eukaryota; Viridiplantae; Streptophyta; Magnoliopsida; Solanales; Solanaceae
Description: long non-coding RNA (NBEN_LNC023821)
Source: RNAcentral